This is a long non-coding RNA of Nicotiana tabacum (common tobacco), 893 nucleotides long. RefSeq lists it as uncharacterized. The record is from RefSeq and is a predicted model, not a curated record. Lineage: Eukaryota; Viridiplantae; Streptophyta; Magnoliopsida; Solanales; Solanaceae.
CUAAAACGAAAGCAUUGCACAGGGAUCUCUUUCUUCAUCAACGAAGAAAGCUUCUUCGUUCAACAAGCUGAAACGAAGAAAGUAGCAAAAAAGCUGCGCUUGGAGGAAAACUGAAACGAGAAAGAGGCUGGGAACAAAAGAAGGUAGCUGCACAUGGAUAACAAAAGAAGGGGAUGAUAACGAAGAAGGGCUGAAAAGCAAAAAGCUGCGCGGACAAAAAAUGACUCCACCCCCCUUUUGGAUCGUUGUCUUCACGAGACUACCCCUGGCCUCGUUUUAAUUUUCCUUCAGAAAACCAGAAAAAGGAGAACAAUACAAGCACCCUCCCCACGUCUUCUUCUUCAUCGAACGACCCCCCACGUAGCUUUCAUCUUCUUCUUCGCUGGAACGAUAGAAGAAAACCCUAGGAGCCUGAAAGAAGAAGCAGCGAUGCCAACCAGCUUCGCCGGAAAUCCGGUGACCUCACCCCUCUCAUUCCAUUACUGCCUCAUCGGCAAAUGACAACACAAACCAGCGACCAAACAACUUAAACCAGCCGCUGUUCAUCGGAAACCAGAGGCACGAUGUCACCGGCGACCACCAUUGAAGCCGGCCAACACACGCACACACAGUCAUGCACAUGAACGGAGUGAGGGAGCGAGCGUAAGGCAGCUGAUGUUUCCGAGUCAUUUUUGAGUUCGAGUCAUGUAGAAUGUUGCCGCGAUCUGUUCGUAUGUCGAGGUAAGGCGGGUUCGGGUCCGGCGAGGUCGUAAAUUUGUCGAGGUUAACGUUCGUAGCUCCGGUGCUGGUUCUGUUUACUUUUGGUGUGGAUUUAUUUACCAGAGUUUAAGCAUGACAGACACUCCAUGACCAUCCAGUCAGAAUCGCUCAGUCGGGAGUUGCUUAAGGAGAUU